Molecule: ribosomal RNA, 279 nt
Filed under: uncultured bacterium
Lineage: Bacteria
Description: partial 16S ribosomal RNA
Rfam family: Bacterial small subunit ribosomal RNA
Source: RNAcentral
UGCCAGCCGCCGCGGUAAUACGGAGGGUGCAAGCGUUGUUCGGAAUCACUGGGCGUAAAGCGUGCGUAGGCGGCCGGGUAAGUCGGAUGUGAAAGCCCAGGGCUCAACCCUGGAACUGCAUUCGAUACUGCUCGGCUUGAGUAUAGGAGAGGGAAGCGGAAUUCCUGGUGUAGCGGUGAAAUGCGUAGAUAUCAGGAGGAACAUCUGUGGCGAAAGCGGCUUCCUGGCCUAUUACUGACGCUGAGGCACGAGAGCGUGGGGAGCAAACAGGAUUAGAUA